UCUACGGGAGGCAGCAGUGGGGAAUAUUGCGCAAUGGGCGAAAGCCUGACGCAGCGACGCCGCGUGAGGGAUGAAGGUCUUCGGAUCGUAAACCUCUGUCAGCAGGGAAGAACGGUCACUGUGCUAAUCAGCAGUUAAUUGACGGUACCUGCAACGGAAGCACCGGCUAACUCCAUGCCAGCAGCCGCGGUAAUAAGGAGGGUGCGAGCGUUAAGCGGAAUUACUGGGCGUAAAGCGCUCGUAGGCGGUAUGUCAAGUCAAGGGUGAACUCCCCGCGCGCAAAGGGUGAACUGCCUUUGAAACUGGCAAACUGGAGUGUGUGAGAGGAUAGUGGAAUUCCAGGUGUAGGAGUGAAAUCCGUAGAUAUCUGGAGGAACAUCAGUGGCGAAGGCGACUAUCUGGCACAUAACUGAUGCUGAGGAGCGAAAGCGUGGGUAGCAAACAGGAUUAGAUACCCCAGUAGUC
This 465-nucleotide ribosomal RNA is filed under the name uncultured bacterium. RNAcentral's name for it is "partial 16S ribosomal RNA". It matches the Rfam family "Bacterial small subunit ribosomal RNA", at positions 338 to 795 of the family's 1533-position model. The record is from RNAcentral.